AGUGAACGCUGGCGGCGUGCCUAAUACAUGCAAGUCGAACGGAGUGGCGCACGGGUGAGUAAUAUAUAGCUAAUCUGCCCCUUGCUGGAGGACAACAGUUAGAAAUGACUGCUAAUACUCCAUAGCAAGGGAUGAGACUAUAUCGUAUCAGCUAGUCGGUGGGGUAACGGCCUACCGAGGCUAUGAUCAGUAGCCGGUCUGAGAGGAUGAACGGCCACAUUGGGACUGAGACACGGCCCAGACUCCUACGGGAGGCAGCAGUGGGGAAUCUUCCGCAAUGGACGAAAGUCUGACGCAGCAACGCCGCGUGGAGGAUGACACUUUUCGGAGCGUAAACUCCUUUUGUUAGGGAAGCGGUACCUAACGAAUAAGCACCGGCUAACUCCGUGCCAGCAGCCGCGGUAAUUC
RNAcentral lists this ribosomal RNA (408 nucleotides) under uncultured bacterium. Its description in RNAcentral is "partial 16S ribosomal RNA". It matches the Rfam family "Bacterial small subunit ribosomal RNA", at positions 29 to 526 of the family's 1533-position model. The record is from RNAcentral.